UACGGAAGGCAGCAGUGGGGAAUAUUGCACAAUGGGCGCAAGCCUGAUGCAGCCAUGCCGCGUGUAUGAAGAAGGCCUUCGGGCUGUAAAGUACUUUCAGUCGUGAGGAAGGUGUUAAGGUUAAUAACCUUAGCAAUUGACGUUAGCGACAGAAGAAGCACCGGCUAACUCCGUGCCAGCAGCCGCGGUAAUACGGAGGGUGCGAGCGUUAAUCGGAAUUACUGGGCGUAAAGGGCACGCAGGCGGUUAAUUAAGUUGGAUGUGAAAUCCCCGGGCUUAACCUGGGAAUGGCAUUCAAGACUGGUUAGCUAGAGUCUUGUAGAGGGGGUAGAAUUCCAUGUGUAGCGGUGAAAUGCGUAGAGAUGUGGAGGAAUACCGGUGGCGAAGGCGGCCCCUGGGACAAAGACUGACGCUCAUGUGCGAAAGCGUGGGGAGCAAACAGGGAUUAGAUACC
Molecule: ribosomal RNA, 454 nt
Filed under: uncultured bacterium
Lineage: Bacteria
Description: bacterial SSU rRNA
Rfam family: Bacterial small subunit ribosomal RNA
Source: RNAcentral